RNAcentral lists this ribosomal RNA (321 nucleotides) under uncultured soil bacterium. RNAcentral's name for it is "bacterial SSU rRNA". It matches the Rfam family "Bacterial small subunit ribosomal RNA", at positions 26 to 381 of the family's 1533-position model. The record is from RNAcentral.
AGAGCGAACGCUGGCGGCAGGCCUAAUACAUGCAAGUCGAGCGGUCCCUUCGGGGGCAGCGGCGGACGGGUGAGUAACGCGUGGGAACGUGCCCUUUGGUACGGAACAACUGAGGGAAACUUCAGCUAAUACCGUAUACGCCCUACGGGGGAAAGAUUUAUCGGAAUUAGAUGAGCCCGCGUAAGAUUAGCUAGUUGGUGGGGUAAUGGCCUACCAAGGCGACGAUCUUAGCUGGUCUGAGAGGAUGAUCAGCCACACUGGACUGAGACACGGCCCAGACUCGUACGGGAGCAGCAGUGGGAAUAUGGACAAUGGCGCAAG